This is a long non-coding RNA of Oncorhynchus kisutch (coho salmon), 970 nucleotides long. RefSeq lists it as uncharacterized. The record is from RefSeq and is a predicted model, not a curated record. NCBI's taxonomy places the organism in Eukaryota, Metazoa, Chordata, Actinopteri, Salmoniformes, Salmonidae. The transcript is spliced from 4 exons.
GCGUGCAUGUUUCCAUUUUGAAGAGAGGAGAAACUAAACUGCCUCGAGUGACUUAUCAUCGAAUAGAUAUGUGAAAAACACCUUGAGGAUUGAUUCUAAACAACGUUUGCCAUGUUUCUGUCGAUAUUAUGGAGUUAAUUUGGAAAAAAGUUCGCGUUUUAAUGACUGAAUUUUCGGGGGUUUUUCUCAGCCAAACGUGAUGAACAAAACGGAGCGAUUUCUCCUACACAAAUAAUCUUUUUGGAAAAACUGAACAUUUGCUAUCUAACUGAGAGUCUCCUCAUUGAAAACAUCCGAAGUUCUUCAAAGAGAAUACUUCAAAAUGAGAAGAUCCUGUCAUGGAAAAGACGACUGGGUGGACAUAAAGUGGAAAGGAGGGGAAAUAACUCCCAUCAUGCAGCAGGACACCUUCAGCUGGGGUCUUUAUAAUGCAGAUAGCCAAGGAAGUUGCACAGAACAUCCCCAACAUCCCCUCCCAAAUUGAUAUGGAACCUUCAAAAACACAUGGAGCAACUGCGAAAAGAAAUGGCUGAGGAUGUACUAAAAAUGUCUGGUAUCUAAUGACAUUUAAUUCAAAGUAAAUGUAAAAAAAAUUGUAUGUAGUUGUGUGGGACAGCCAUAUGUUCAGUUCAUGCCUAUGAUUUCAGAGUUCAACAAAGUCAACAACUGCUUCAUGUGUGCCACUGAUAAAGAACCUGGAUGUGGCCCAAAGACUGACUGGGAAUGAAGACAAAAGAGAUCAACAGAGUAAAGAACACAAACUGGAAGUACAGUCUUUGUUGUUGAUAAUGUAUGCUAUACCCCAUACACACUGAAGAGGCUCUGACAUGUACAUCAACCAGGGAUAAAGAGGAAGUUAACUGAAAUGUACAUCAAGCAGGAAUAAAGAGAAAGUUAACUGAAAUGUUUCAUACUUAAUUGAAUUUGUGUCUGUUGACAUGUUGGAAAAGAUUAAAGGUCUACAAUUUCA